Molecule: ribosomal RNA, 461 nt
Filed under: Levilactobacillus brevis
Lineage: Bacteria; Bacillati; Bacillota; Bacilli; Lactobacillales; Lactobacillaceae
Description: bacterial SSU rRNA
Rfam family: Bacterial small subunit ribosomal RNA
Source: RNAcentral
GAACUGGAGGGGGGAACAUUCCUAUGGAAAAUAACAUGCAAGUCGAACGAGCUUCCGUUGAAUGACGUGCUUGCACUGAUUUCAACAAUGAAGCGAGUGGCGAACUGGUGAGUAACACGUGGGAAAUCUGCCCAGAAGCAGGGGAUAACACUUGGAAACAGGUGCUAAUACCGUAUAACAACAAAAUCCGCAUGGAUUUUGUUUGAAAGGUGGCUUCGGCUAUCACUUCUGGAUGAUCCCGCGGCGUAUUAGUUAGUUGGUGAGGUAAAGGCCCACCAAGACGAUGAUACGUAGCCGACCUGAGAGGGUAAUCGGCCACAUUGGGACUGAGACACGGCCCAAACUCCUACGGGAGGCAGCAGUAGGGAAUCUUCCACAAUGGACGAAAGUCUGAUGGAGCAAUGCCGCGUGAGUGAAGAAGGGUUUCGGCUCGUAAAACUCUGUUGUUAAAGAAGAACACC